RNAcentral lists this long non-coding RNA (468 nucleotides) under Anas platyrhynchos platyrhynchos (common mallard). Its description in RNAcentral is "lncRNA (ENSAPLG00000029081.1)". Lineage: Eukaryota; Metazoa; Chordata; Aves; Anseriformes; Anatidae. The record is from RNAcentral.
GGAGCGUUUUCCUUCUGUAUUGAUGCUGACCUUUUUCUUCCCCCUCAUUAGCAGAGGCAACAACUAUGCCGCGUUUAGCUGUCCUUUCUCCAAAUGUACCUUCAAUAAAUAAACAAACAUCCAGUCUUGCUUUCUUGCCUCAAAAAGUAAAAGUUUGGAUAAACCAAUGAGAAACUGAAAUCACAGCAGGAUGGAAACAGAUUUACUUUAAGCUGCUCUAUCUGAUGGAAGCUGAAUGCUAAGUGAAUCAUCGUGACUCAGUAAAUAGGAUAAUGGUCUCCCCCUCUGGGAUUUCUGUUCCUGCCAGAGCAAAUAGAAGCCCUACUAAGCCACAGUGAAGUGGAAACCCAGCCUGCUCUUGCUGUGCAGCAGGGCUGCACCUGCACCUUUAUACCUGCUGCAGGUAAAAUACCAUAUGAGCUUGUUCUGGAGGGGUCAAACGUAUACUGUACAUCUACCCCAUGUCUA